CGGUGGGAGGAAGCCUCUGGGCAGGGUGGCUGUGCGGUGCCCCGCCUGGCUGUCCUCUCUUCUUCACCUUAUUUCCCUAAACUUCUGGCCCAGAUUUCCAGGCUCCGCCCAGCAAUCCCAGUUCUAAAUGCUUGCAAUGAAGCACACACAUGCUGCUGACUUCUGAGAUGCCUGCUGUGUUCAGGGUCUUGGGCUGGGCCCCUGGAGCUGGACACCUGGAGCUGGGUCCAGGUCUGGGGGCAGGGAGUGGUGGAAAGGGCUUUCCAGCCCUCAAGCACUCGGAUUGUUCAGGACCAGGCUAAGGUGAGAGACUUAAGUGACGCUGUGACCUGGCUCCUUGCCCCGACUCAUCACAGCCCUGCUCCUGUGGGUAACCAUGCUUGCAGGAGUUCCGUCUCCAAGCUCCAGAGGUCAACUGAGGACUCCUGCUCUGCUUUGACUGAGUGGCAGUGUGACGCAGUGAUUGUAAGAAGGACCCUGCAGCCAGGCAUUUUGGGUUCCAAAUCCCAGCUCUACCCUUUGCCAGCUGGGUGAUGUUAGGCAAGGCACAGAACCUGUGGUGCCUUAUUUUCUUCAUUUAUAAAACAGAGACGGUAAUGGUGCCCAGCCUGCAGGGCUGUUGUGAGAAGGAAACAAGUGAAUAUGUAUAGUGCCUGGCACAUUGCUAGGUACCAAGAAAGUAUUAAUAAUUCUUAGUACCUUAAGUUAUUAAAAUAUAAAUAUAAUUCCUGUUCUUACCCCAUAGCACUGGAGAGCUUAGCCUCAUUGACCCUCCUGUGACCAGCCCCUUUGCCUGUCAUGAUUUUUCCCCAUCAUGCCCCCAACUCUGGGUCUACAAUUGGGGAAUGUCUGGCUGCUCUGGCCAAGGUGUGGAAUCCUGGAAAGAGCAUAGGCUCGGGAGUGAUUCAGAGCUGGGUUUGGAGCCUGUGUUUAUCCUGGUGGGAUCACCUCCCCUCUGCACCUAAGUUCCUCCUUUUUCAGUAGUACCCUCCUCAGAGAGUGGUUAUAAGGACUGGAAAGAAAGCAUGUUCUGUUCCCAGCACCCAGAAAGCCCCAGUUCAUGUUAUUCCCUUCUUUGUGAUACAGAACAGGCUGAGUGUUUUCUCAAGAGGACCUGCCUGAGGACAGCAUGAAGGGGAAAGAGGUAGGCACUGAGUACAAGCUGGGGUGAGAAGGGGCAUCUCCCAGAGAGCUGGAUCCUUCUCAGAUGAGUGUCCAUCCAGACACAUCACCCCUGCAGGCUCUGCAGAAUGUACUCCUCACACCCCCAGAGGGGUGUGCGGGAGGCUGCCAGGCUAGAGAGGGAAGGCAGAAGCCUAGCAGGAACGUGGCACUUAGCUUGCUCCCUCCACCCUCAGGUCCCUUUUUCCCUCGGGCUCUGUGACCGUGCUUGACCGAGGGGUGCAAUCUAAGCACCUCUUAUGACACUCUGUGCCCCGGCUCCCGCUCCUGACAGCUGCCCCAGCAAAGUCAGAGACCUCAGGCUCUCAGCAGCCUCCCUGUGCUACCCAGCCACUCGAUCUGCUACUUAUAGAUACAUAGUUAGUACACAAUAAGGCCUCACAGCCUCCCUCCUCAGGGACCUGCACAGAAACAGCAGAAAGCCAGAAGCGCCGAGGGUGUGUCAGGAAGUCAGUCCUUCUGCACCCAAAUGUCAACCCCAGAACUGGACACAAAACUGCACCUGCACAGGCACAUUCCUGGGGCAUUCCCAGGAAUCUUCAUGUGGUUCUGUGUGCACAGAGAAGACACAACUGAAUGUGUGAAGUCACAGGCAGCAUAGUGACAGAAUUCAGGAUUCAGGUUGGACCCCAUGCCAGCCUGUCUUCUACUGUCCUCAUACCCUCCCAACCCUCCUGGGAGGGUGGCAGGAGAAAUUCCCAGGUGCAAGAAGGUGGGGGAAGGCGAUGGGGCAAGGCAAGGGAGCAGGUGCUGACUUUCCUCCAGCAGAGAAAGAGUUAAGCAACUAUUUUCCCCACCUCCCUGCCCCAUCUAAUAUGAAGGUCAUCAGGGCUAGGUGAGUACAGAUAAAGCAACUGGGUGGGAGGGGGAGGCCCCAGGGGAAGAGGGAGGCUUUUAGCAGGUGGAGGGAAGCUGUCAGGGUAAUGGCUUUUCCUGGCACAGCUGACUCCUCCGGGCCUUGAUGCUAUUCUAGAAUCUGGAGAGCAAGAAGGGCCUCUGAUUCUUCACAGAAUAGGAGCAGGGGACGAGCUCACUCCCUGCUCCCAGCCCCAUUCUGCACCCCGCAGAUGGGCACGUGGCUGAGUUCCAGGUUCCUGGGCUCCCUCAGGGCUCCCAAUGCAGUCUUUGAGCCCAGGGGACCUCUCCAAGACCUGCCUCCCUAGGUCUCUCCACAGGCUGUCUGCAAGGAGAGACCUCCCUCCCCGUCCCCCCAAAGACCAGCCUUGUUAGCUUGGACUCUCUGGCUCCAGGCAUCCAGAGCCAGGAGGAGGUAGUGGGUGGUUCCUGCUGUCUCAGGGUCAGAUUUAAUCCAGCCACAGCAUGGGCAGCCAUGCCAGGAUAGGACUGGAGUUGGGUUUAGAGUGCAGCAGCCCCAAGACCAAGCUGCAAGAAAAUGUAAACCCCCCUCAACCUGGUCUACCCUCCAGGCUGCUGGAAGAGUGUGUGUCUUUGACAAACUCCAGUCCCCAGCUAGGCAUUCCUGGGGCCCCCACCCUAGCGGGGGAUGAGGGGGCCAGGCCCAAGCGCAGCUGUGAGUGGGAGGGAACAAGGACUUUGCUUUCCUUCUGCAAGGUCAUGACGAAGGGAAAAUGUGUCAUCUGGUUCCUGGGGGAUGCAGCUGUGAGUGGAAGAAGUGAGCAUCAGAAAAGCAUGGGAUUUGAUGGACAGAAAGCAAGAGUGCUCAUAAGCUGCUUUCCCCCUGACUCCAGGGGACACACACACACAUCCACACAUACACACACACAUGCACACACACACACAGAUGCAUGCACACACACAUACAUGCACACAUGCACAUGCACAAGGCUGCCCAGAGAGGUGUGAGUACCAUACUGUACCCACUCUUGUUACCCAGCCCUCAAACUGCCUCCAGGGUCUUCUAUUCACACCUGAGCCUACCUCCCUCACCUGCCCUGCCUUCUUUUUGGCCUCUGACUCCCCUCAAAGCCUCAAAGCAUGAACAAUAGUCAAGGCCUGGCCUCCUCCUGGGCAGAGCUUUAGAAGCUGGGGCACAGGCAGCCUGACUUGUUUUGAGUGCCAAUCCCAGGCCAGUCACCAGGAGAGCAAAGGAAAGGGGAGGGGCCCGACUCAGAUCUGCUGUGGCUGCUGGGGUCCUGGCUGGGCAGGCUUGUAAAUCCUGAAAGAAUAGAGGGAUGUUCCCAGAAGCCCCUGGCACUGGGGAAGUCAGGCAGGCACUGGGAAUAAUGGAUAAAGAGCGGACCUUUAAGUGGAUGGAUGGUGGAAUAGGGGUAUUGGGCCCCUUUGACCUGGUCCAUCACAGCCCAUUGCUGGCUCACCUGGGAAACUGAGAGGGAGGUGAGGGAACUGGCAGUCCUGCAGGCCAGCUGUCGAGGUAUCAUGGUCAGGCCUCAAUCUUUCCUGAGAAGGUAGGGCAAUUCCCCUCUACCUGCUUCCUCCAUGCCAACUUCUGAGCCGGGGAGGCCUGUCUCCCCCAUCCUCCAGAAGUCCAAGAGGCUGCCAGACUCCCAGCCAUAGGCUAGGCCUGCCUCCAUCCCUGGAGGGCUCUGAAAAACCCAAUUACCUCUUCCCAAUCCAGGAGCCCAGUCUUAUGCAACAGGAGAUGGGAGCUGGCUUCUGCCGUGACAAUCAUCUGAAUGGGGUGGCCAAAGGCUGGGUUCCUGUGUUUCCAACCCCAAACCUGGAGGAGGCAGGGCUUAAACAGAUAGAUGGAGGAUCUUUCCACUUGGAGGAGGGAAGAUGAGGCUUGAGAGGGGCUGUCUGACUCAUGCAAGUGCCGGCUUGGGAGCAGGGGUUGGGGGAGUCAGGAGAGGGAGGCUGCGGUUCUCCCCUGACUGAGUCCCUCUCAAGGCCCCUUUUUGCCAUAGCCACAAGCAGUGUCCUCUGAGGCCAGGCAGGCAGAAGGGAAGAGCCCCGGGUCUCACACCUCUGGCCUUCGCCAAGUUCCCCUGGGAUUGCUGGCCAGGGUAUUGUGCCCGGGGACUCCUCAAAGGAGGAGCUGAGAUCUGAGGCAGGGAGUCAGUGCUAAAGCUCCCUUCUCUCCUCACCCCCGCUUCACCACACAACAGCCUCGACAAGGCCCCCAGUCCAUGCUGCCGCCUCCCCCAGCCCCAUGCUGAAGGCAGGGCAGCUGGUCCUUGUGGGUUUUGAGCCCUGGGAGGCUGCCACUUAAGGCAUGAGCGGGGCUGUUAUUCUCAGCAACGCAAGGGGCUCUCAUCCUGGGUUUCAUUUAUUAAUUGCACUCUAAUGAAGCAUCACUAAUUGCUGAUGGUGCUACAACACUGCAGGUGGGCCUCAGUUUACAGAAUAAUUGACUCUGGAGCAAGGAGGGCGCCAACUGGAGGCCAGCAGUUCCCAGUCCAUGAGGGCCUGGCUCUUCCCCUGCCCUUACCUGCAGGGCAUGAGGGCUG
Chlorocebus sabaeus (green monkey) is the source of this 4571-nucleotide non-coding RNA. NCBI's taxonomy places the organism in Eukaryota, Metazoa, Chordata, Mammalia, Primates, Cercopithecidae. The record is from RefSeq and is a predicted model, not a curated record.